RNAcentral lists this ribosomal RNA (268 nucleotides) under uncultured bacterium. RNAcentral describes it as "partial 16S ribosomal RNA". The record is from RNAcentral.
CUGCUGCCUCCCGUAGGAGUCUGGGCCGUGUCUCAGUCCCAGUGUGGCCGUCCACCCUCUCAGGCCGGCUGCUGAUCGUCGCUUUGGUGGGCCGUUACCCCGCCAACUGGCUAAUCAGACGCGGGCCCAUCCUGUACCACCGGAGUUUUCAAAGGAUUACCAUGCGGUAUUCCCUAUUAUGCGGUGUUAGCACCUAUUUCUAAGUGUUAUCCCCCGGUACAGGGCAGGUUGCCCCACGCGUUACUCACCCGUCCGCCACUAAGACAGA